GAACAUUCGAUCACUGGUGGGGUAAGCUAGCGUCUCCGGCUACGAAUCCAGCCGACAUGGAGAGGAAAGUUCUAGCACUCCAGGCAAGGAAGAAAAGGGGGAAAGCAAAGAAAACCAGCAAGAAGCAGCCAGUCAAUCCCAGAGCUCGACAACUAUCCCAGCAGGAAGCCUCGCCUCAGGAACCAGAGGAACCUGAGGAGAUUCUUGGCUCAGAUGACGAGGAGCAAGAGGACCCCAAUGACUACUGCAAAGGUGGCUACCAUCAUGUGAAAGUAGGAGAUCUUUACAAUGGGAAAUACCACGUAAUCCGUAAACUGGGCUGGGGACAUUUCUCAACUGUGUGGCUCGCCUGGGACGUCCAGGUGAAGAGGUUUGUUGCAAUGAAAGUAGUGAAAAGUGCAGAGCACUACACAGAGACGGCAGUGGAUGAGAUCAAACUCCUUAGAUCUGUAAGAAACUCUGACCCGGAUGAUCCCAAACGAGAAAUGGUGGUCCAGAUGCUGGAUGACUUCAAAAUCUCUGGCGUCAAUGGAACGCAUGUAUGCAUGGUGUUCGAGGUACUGGGGCAUCACUUAUUAAAAUGGAUAAUUAAGUCCAAUUACCAAGGGCUACCUCUGUCUUGUGUGAAGAGCAUCAUAAGACAGGUUCUCCAAGGCCUGGACUACCUGCACACAAAGUGUCAGAUCAUCCAUACAGAUAUCAAGCCGGAGAAUAUCCUGAUGAGCGUUGAUGAGCCUUAUAUCCGGAAGCUUGCAGCUGAAGCAACAGAGUGGCAGCGGGCUGGGGCACCUCCUCCCUCCGGUUCAGCGAUAAGCACAGCACCAGCUCCGAAACAGACUGUGAAAAUGUCCAAGAACAAGAAGAAGAAGUUAAAAAAGAAGCAAAGGCGUCAGGCAGAGUUGCUGGAAAAAUGCAUCAUGGAUUUGGAGGAGAUGGAAAAGACCACAGAAACGCGAGAAGACGAUGACGAAGAGGAGGACCCACAGUCUCCGAAGGGCCGAGCCUGUGCUCCUCUCAGACAGCUGUCUCUUCAGGGGCUAGGAGAUGAAGAAAUAGUGGACUGCAUCACAAAUGCAGAUUACAUGAGAGUGGGAUCAGCGGAGCUCUCAGAGGCCAACUGUAAUGGGCACGUAGACAUGGAUGACAAGAAAUACCUGUGGAGGAGUGAAGACCAACACAAUGGCAACACAGAGUCUCCAGAGGAGCAACAUAAGGAGACCCCCGUAUACCUCAUGUGCAAUGGUGUUGAUUCUACAGAUGACAUUGAGCUGCACACUGAGACUGGAGGCAAGGGUGCUCACAGUGGUGAAAUAACUGUGAGACAGCUUUCUGCCGGAUUGGAGGAGGGAGAGCUGGAACAAAGCUUUUUGCUGGAGGAGGGAAAGGACGAGACACUGUGUCCUUACAGAACCCAGGAAAGCCUAAGAAAUGACAAGAUGACAGCAGGAGCCCUGCUAGUCAACCCUCUUGAGCCACUCAAUGCAGACAAGAUCAAGGUCAAGAUUGCAGACUUGGGAAACGCCUGCUGGGUGCACAAGCACUUUACAGAAGACAUCCAAACACGCCAGUACCGGUCUUUAGAGGUACUCAUUGGUUCUGGAUACAGCACGCCAGCUGACAUAUGGAGCACAGCCUGCAUGGCCUUCGAGCUUGCUACAGGGGACUACUUAUUUGAACCACAUUCAGGCGAAGAUUAUUCCAGGGAUGAAGACCAUCUUGCUCUAAUGAUUGAGUUGCUUGGUAAAAUUCCUCGUCACUAUGCUCUGAGUGGGAAAUACUCUCAGGAAUACUUCACCAAGAGAGGUAUGCUACCCUUUUGUGUGUGGCUCACUUUGGGAAAGGUGGAGAGGAGACUGAAGGGAGAAGGGAAGCUGUCAGCACAUUCAGACCGACCGGAGUGGCUCAGUGAACAGGCCAGUUGGCAUUAUAAUGAACACAGAGACCAACAAACGUUAGUUCCAACAAAGCCAUCAGAAAUUGAUUUAAGUGUCAGUAGUCCUGCCAAAGACUGUCAGUGAGGGGUUUAUAUAAUAGCUUUAAAGAUUUAGCUUGAAGACCUGACUGGAUUGUUAAAACUGUAUUGAUCCUUGUUCAAGAGAUUCUCAUGACCUUUUCCACUACAGUGAUCUGAUUUAAAUAAAAGGAUGAGAUCAUAGACAGCAGUGACCAGAGCAAAAAAAGGACCUUGUAGAAGUGCUUCUGUUGUUUUACACACCUGAUUUCAACAAGUUAACCUUCGUCUGUUGUUAGGGUCGCCACCGACCCGUUCUUAGGUUUUAAAUUCGUAAAACUACCACAAAAAUGCGUUUAUUGCAUCAAGGCUUUUUGACUUUGUCAGGAACCUUUAUUUCAACAAAAUAAUAUCCAACUUUUUUUUUUCACUAAAUUAUAAAAUGCUCUGGUUGAAAUUGUUAUCUUUUACUUUUUUUCCAUUUCCUUAAAGUAAAUGGGUCGAAAUUUAGCCAUAACACCAUAGAUGUUACUAUAGUUAAUAAUAUUAAAAUGAAAAAAUAAAUGAAACAAAUGUAUCUAAGAUAUGUGUUCUAAUACCUCCCCGUAACAAGCUUUUAUUUAUUCAUAUGAUUCUCUUGAGGCUCAUUUUACCAGUUUUUAAAAUUGAAAUUAAGGGCUAAACUGACAAAAAAAAGGCCUAGAGUUCCCACAACAAUAAUAUUAAAACAAAUAUUUUCAUGGAUAAGGAAGCCUAACAAUGUAACCAAGAGAUGAGAAACAAAUUGGAUGAUGGAUAAUUGCUUUUAGUGUAUUUUAGAGAUAAUUUAAAACACGGGUCAAAACCGACCCGUUAACAUCGGAGAUGGUAACAGAAAGCUAACACCAGACAAAGGUUAAUACCCUAAUUGUAUAUGCUGGUAUAGUUUUGAUGUAAGGUGUGGAAUUAAAAGAAGACUCUGCGAAAGUUGUACCCUCUGUUAUGGAAAGUUCAUGUCACUCACUGUGGCAUAUUUAUUGGUUCUUGAUUUAAGAUUUGGAAAAUGAUGAAGAGCUCUUAUAGUGCCUGCUGGCCCUGUCUAAUCGAUUUCUGAACCACAACAAUAUGUGCUGUCAGUGCAACACUUGACUCCCUCCGUCCUCUGCCCACACACCCAGAGUGGGCCUGUGACCAAUACACACUCUGAUCAGUCUGUUGUCUGUCUUGUCUUGUGUUCUCCCCUCCUGAAACCGUCUGCCGGGUAGACCAUAUAGCGCUGAUCAUUGAGCUGCUGGGGAGUGUCCCACGCAAACUCAUAAUAAGUGGCAAAUAUUCCAAGGAUUUUUUCACCAAGAAAGGUGAUUUGAAACACAUCACCAAACUGAAGCCGUGGGGCCUGCUGGAGGUGCUGAU
RNA transcript from Cololabis saira (Pacific saury), 3343 nucleotides. It is a transcript of the gene named SRSF protein kinase 1a, with no coding region annotated. The transcript is spliced from 16 exons. Lineage: Eukaryota; Metazoa; Chordata; Actinopteri; Beloniformes; Belonidae. The record is from RefSeq and is a predicted model, not a curated record.